GGCAAAGUUAAUAAGGGCGCACGGUGGAUGCCUUGGCACUAAGAGCCGAUGAAGGACGUGACUAACGACGAUAUUCUAGGGGGAGCAGUAAGUACGCAUUGAUCCCUAGGUCUCCGAAUGGGGAAACCCAGCUGCUACUAGCAGUUAUUCAUGAGUGAAUACAUAGCUCAUGUAAAGGUAACGCAGAGAACUGAAACAUCUAAGUACCUGCAGGAAGAGAAAGUAAAAACGAUUUCGUAAGUAGCGGCGAGCGAACGCGAAGAAGGGCAAACCAAGAAGCUUGCUUCUUGGGGUUGUAGGACUGCAACGUGGACUUAAGCAUUAUAGUCGAAUAACCUGGGAAGGUUAAUCAAAGAGGGUAAUAAUCCCGUAGACGAAAUAGCGCUUAUACCUAGCAGUAUCCUGAGUAGGGCUGGACACGCGAAAUCCAGUUUGAAUCCGGGAGGACCAUCUCCCAACCCUAAAUACUCCUUAGUGACCGAUAGUGAACCAGUACCGUGAGGGAAAGGUGAAAAGAACCCCGAGAGGGGAGUGAAAUAGCACCUGAAACCGUGUGCCUACAAGAAGUUCGAGCCCGUUAAUGGGUGAGAGCGUGCCUUUUGUAGAAUGAACCGGCGAGUUACGUUAUGAUGCGAGGUUAAGUUGAAGAGACGGAGCCGUAGGGAAACCGAGUCUGAAUAGGGCGACUUAGUAUCAUGAUGUAGACCCGAAACCUAGUGACCUAUCCAUGAGCAGGGUGAAGGUGUGGUAAGACGCACUGGAGGCCCGAACCAGGACACGUUGAAAAGUGUUUGGAUGACUUGUGGAUAGCGGAGAAAUUCCAAACGAACUGGGAGAUAGCUGGUUCUCUCCGAAAUAGCUUUAGGGCUAGCGUCGAAAUGUAAGUGUAUUGGAGGUAGAGCACUGUUUGGGUGAGGGGUCCGUCUAGGAUUACCAAUCUCAGAUAAACUCCGAAUGCUAAUACACAUGUUCGGCAGUCAGACUGCGAGUGCUAAGAUCCGUAGUCGAAAGGGAAACAGCCCAGACCAACAGCUAAGGUCCCAAAAUAUAUGUUAAGUGGAAAAGGAUGUGGGGUUGCACAGACAACUAGGAUGUUAGCUCAGAAGCAGCUAUCAUUCAAAGAGUGCGUAAUAGCUCACUAGUCGAGUGACCCUGCGCCGAAAAUGUACCGGGGCUAAACAUAUUACCGAAGCUUUGGAUUGAUAUUUUAUCAAUGGUAGGAGAGCGUUCUUAACCGCGAUGAAGGUAUACCGUGAGGAGUGCUGGAGCGUUAAGAAGUGAGAAUGCCGGUAUGAGUAGCGCAAGAUAAGUGAGAAUCUUAUCCACCGUAAGACUAAGGUUUCCAGGGGAAGGCUCGUCCGCCCUGGGUUAGUCGGGACCUAAGGCGAGGCCGAAAGGCGUAGUCGAUGGACAACUGGUUGAUAUUCCAGUACUAGAUAUGAUCGUGAUGGAGGGACGCAGUAGGCUAAGAGAUGCCAGUUAAUGGAUUCUGGUCUAAGCAGUGAGGUGUGAGAUGUGUCAAAUGCAUUUCUCUUU
RNAcentral lists this ribosomal RNA (1536 nucleotides) under Lactococcus lactis. RNAcentral's name for it is "partial 23S ribosomal RNA". It matches the Rfam family "Bacterial large subunit ribosomal RNA", at positions 1 to 1553 of the family's 2925-position model. Lineage: Bacteria; Bacillati; Bacillota; Bacilli; Lactobacillales; Streptococcaceae. The record is from RNAcentral.